GAGAGGAUGGAAGAGCAGCAGUGGGAAAGUUUGAGGCUACCACAGGAAAAAAAAAGUUUGUAGAACACAGCAGACAGAGAUAUGUCAAACCCAUGGCACCUUAUCAGGCUGACGGAAAAGUGAAAAACUCUUCAUGUGAUAUAGAUCAGAAGAGAUUCAAAUGUGAAUGUCGCUACUGCCAAAGCUACAUGGGGAACACUUCUAGGAUCUCAAUGGGGAGGAAAGCCACCUAUCAUUCUUCUUCCUGAGAUAAACUAAUACAAGAACUCAAUAACUUGACACUCAACCCUGGUACCAUCCAACCCCCUCUUCUACAUGAAAGGGUGCAGGAAAGGAAGAAGAUCCAAAAACAGAGGCAGCAGAAAAGCAAAAGGAAUUUUAGAGACUUCUAACAGAAUGGGCAGAAUAAAUUUAAGACUUUCAUCCUCAGGUGAAGGAAGAUCAAAAUAGAUGGGGUCAUAAGUAUCAACAUUGACAACCCCUUGGGUGGAAUCCUUUUGGGAACAUGGCCAGGAGGAGUAACAAUAUCCUUAUGCCUUAUGACAAAGAAUCUUAUCAGCUGUCAAUUCAAUCCAGCUCAGAAACAUAACGAUCUUUACUCCAGUAACUUUAGGGCCAUCUUCAGGCACGCUGGGAGGCAUUCCUCCAUGACAAGGGCAACUAAGUAACAGUGGAACCAUGGAAUUCUCCAUAAUACUGUUCUCAUGGCGCAAGCCAUCAUUUUCCCUCCUUGGGUUUCAGCCUUCCCUCUCUUACCUUAUAGUCAAUAAGGCAUAAAGCAUCUAU
Molecule: long non-coding RNA, 786 nt
Filed under: Lynx pardinus (Iberian lynx)
Lineage: Eukaryota; Metazoa; Chordata; Mammalia; Carnivora; Felidae
Source: RNAcentral